Molecule: ribosomal RNA, 468 nt
Filed under: uncultured bacterium
Lineage: Bacteria
Description: partial 16S ribosomal RNA
Rfam family: Bacterial small subunit ribosomal RNA
Source: RNAcentral
GACGAACGCUGGCGGCGUGCUUAACACAUGCAAGUCGAACGGAAAGGCCCUGCUUUUGUGGGGUGCUCGAGUGGCGAACGGGUGAGUAACACGUGAGUAACCUGCCCUUGACUUUGGGAUAACUUCAGGAAACUGGGGCUAAUACCGGAUAGGAGCUCCUGCUGCAUGGUGGGGGUUGGAAAGUUUCGGCGGUUGGGGAUGGACUCGCGGCUUAUCAGCUUGUUGGUGGGGUAGUGGCUUACCAAGGCUUUGACGGGUAGCCGGCCUGAGAGGGUGACCGGCCACAUUGGGACUGAGAUACGGCCCAGACUCCUACCGGAGGCAGCAGUGGGGAAUAUUGCACAAUGGGCGGAAGCCUGAUGCAGCAACGCCGCGUGCGUGAUGACGGCCUUCGGGUUGUAAACCGCUUUCGCCUGUGACGAAGCGUGAGUGACGGUAAUGGGUAAAGAAGCACCGGCUAACUACGUG